UUAAUCUCUUAUAUGUUGUUUUAUGUAUAUAUUUAUCUACUUCUUGCAAAUGCAACACCUUGUCCUUCCUUUGUCCAAACCUUUCUUCUCUUCCAAAACCUACUCCCCAGAAAUUUUGUGAGUCUUUUUUUGAGAGAAGAACGAUCCUUGUCUCUGCCGUCGUUGCUUGUAGAAUCUGAAAUGGUGACAUCAGGCCGAUGACCAAUUCUGGUAGUCUGCCAGUUUGGGCCGCCGAGAGAAGGCAAUUUCAUUAGAUGCCUCUCGAUUUGAUGGCUGACUGAUACCAAUUCAUAUGAAUCAUAUAAAGGGCUGCCACAAUCCCAUAUAUCAAAUGCUGCUGCUGCUUCAUUUCUUUCUUUGGAUUUUCUCAUAUUUUUGAGUUUGAAAGAACUUCUGGGUUUAGAAACAAAUGAUCUAAUGUAUUGGGAGAUUCUCUAAAAGUUAUAUCAAUUUUUAAUUUAAGCUGGCCUGUCCUUCCAUUAAUUAACU
Molecule: long non-coding RNA, 489 nt
Filed under: Gossypium raimondii (Peruvian cotton)
Lineage: Eukaryota; Viridiplantae; Streptophyta; Magnoliopsida; Malvales; Malvaceae
Description: long non-coding RNA (GRAI_LNC000365)
Source: RNAcentral